RNAcentral lists this ribosomal RNA (95 nucleotides) under Sinocyclocheilus grahami. Lineage: Eukaryota; Metazoa; Chordata; Actinopteri; Cypriniformes; Cyprinidae. The record is from RNAcentral.
CUUAAUUGAUAUAAAUUCAAUUCAAGCAAUGCGGGGUUGAGCCUGGUCAGUACCUGGAAGGGAGACCUCCUGGGAAAACUAGGUUGCUGUUGGGA